AGAGCAUAAGGCGGAUGCCUUGGCACUGGGAGCCGACGAAGGACGUGACAAGCUGCGAUAAGCUACGGGGAGGAGCACAUAUCCGUCAAUCCGUAGAUUUCCGAAUGGGGGAACCCACCUAUAGUAAUGUGUAGGUAUUUUCGUAUGAAUCUAUAGUACGAAUAAAGGCAACCCGGGGAACUGAAACAUCUAAGUACCCGGAGGAAGAGAAAGAAAAAUCGAUUUCCUAAGUAGCGGCGAGCGAAAGGGAAAGAGGCCAAACCGUUAGUUUACUAACGGGGUUGUGGAUCACAGCCGUGGUAGAUACAAGUUUAGCAGAAGACAACUGGAAAGUUUGCGACACAGAGGGUAAUAUCCCCGUAUGCGAAAAAUGAGUAUCACCUAUGUGACACCAGAGUAGGACCGAACACGUGGAAUUCGGUUUGAAGCCGGGGGGCCCACCCCCCAAGCCUAAAUACUACCCAGUGACCGAUAGUGAAUAGUACCGUGAGGGAAAGGUGAAAAGGACCCCGGGAGGGGAGUGAAAUAGAACCUGAAACCUUAUGCUUACAAGCAGAGGGAGCGCAAGUGACCUCGUACUUUUUGUAGAACGGGCCAACGAGUUAUGGUAUGCAGCGAGGUUAAGGUGCUGGAGCACUGGAGCCGUAGAGAAAUCGAGUCUGAAAGGGCGAAAGUUGCAUGCUGUAGACCCGAAACCGGGUGAUCUAUCCAUGUCCAGGUUGAAGUAACUGUAAUAGGUUAUGGAGGACCGAACUUAUAUCUGUUGAAAAAGGUUAGGAUGAGGUGUGGAUAGGGGUGAAAUUCCAAUCGAACUCGGAUAUAGCUGGUUCUCCUCGAAAUAGCUUUAGGGCUAGCCUCGUAGUAAGAUACCUGGGGGUAGAGCACUGAAUGUUCUAGGGGCCUUCACCGGUUACCGAAAACUAUCAAACUCCGAAUACCAGAGUAUCAUCUACGGGAGUCAGACUAUGUGAGAUAAGUUUCAUAGUCGAAAGGGAAACAGCCCAGAUCGUCAGCUAAGGUCCCAAAAUAUAGGUUAAGUGGAAAAGGAUGUGGGGUUGCACAGACAGCUAGGAUGUUGGCUUAGAAGCAGCCAUUCAUUCAAAGAGUGCGUAAUAGCUCACUAGUCGAGUGACCCUGCGCCGAAGAUAAACGGGGCUAAAACCUAUUACCGAAGCUACGGAUACUUAAUGUAUGGUAGAGGAGCGUCGUAUACGGGUUGAAGCAGUACUGUAAGGUAUUGUGGACUUUAUACGAGAGAGAAUGUUGGCAUGAGUAGCGCGAGGCAGGUGAGAAUCCUGCCCACCGAAAAUCUAAGGUUUCCUGAGGAAGGUUCGUCCACUCAGGGUUAGUCGGGGCCUAAGCCGAGGGCGAAAGCCAUAGGCGAUGGAUAACAGGUAGAAAUUCCUGUACCACCGAAGGUUGUUUGAAUGAUGUGGGGACACAGGAGGAUAAGCUGAGCACGCCGUUGGUAGAGCGUGUCCAAGCGUCAAGGGAGUAUGAAUAGGCAAAUCCGUUCAUAUAUAUUCUGAGGCGUGAUGGGGUGGUCAAUAGACCGGAAGCAGCUGAUUUCACACUGUCAAGAAAAGCCGCUAAUUAGACCUAAGGUGCCCGUACCGCAAACCGACACAGGUAGAUGAGGAGAGAAUCCUAAGGUGAGCGAGCGAACUAUUGUUAAGGAACUCGGCAAAAUAACCCCGUAACUUCGGGAGAAGGGGUGCCUGCUUCGGCAGGCCGCAGUGAAAAGGCCCAGGCAACUGUUUACCAAAAACACAGGUCUCUGCAAAAGCGAAAGCUGAAGUAUAGGGGCUGACGCCUGCCCGGUGCUGGAAGGUUAAGGGGACGUGUCAUCGCAAGAGAAGCACUGAACUUAAGCCCCAGUAAACGGCGGCCGUAACUAUAACGGUCCUAAGGUAGCGAAAUUCCUUGUCGGGUAAGUUCCGACCCGCACGAAAGGCGUAAUGAUCUGGACACUGUCUCAACAAUAGGCUCGGUGAAAUUGUAGUACCGGUAAAGAUGCCGGUUACCCGCAGCAGGACGGAAAGACCCCGUGGAGCUUUACUGUAGCUUGAUAUUGAGUUUCGGCGUUGCAUGUACAGGAUAGGUGGGAGACUAUGAAGCAAGUACGCCAGUAUUUGCGGAGUCAUCGUUGGGAUACCACCCUUGUAACGCUGGAAUUCUAACCAUGUACCGUGAACCGGUGCUGAGACAGUGUCAGGUGGGCAGUUUGACUGGGGCGGUCGCCUCCUAAAGAGUAACGGAGGCGCCCAAAGG
RNAcentral lists this ribosomal RNA (2271 nucleotides) under human metagenome. RNAcentral describes it as "bacterial LSU rRNA". It matches the Rfam family "Bacterial large subunit ribosomal RNA", at positions 14 to 2316 of the family's 2925-position model. The record is from RNAcentral.